Long non-coding RNA from Daphnia carinata, 619 nucleotides. RefSeq lists it as uncharacterized. Lineage: Eukaryota; Metazoa; Arthropoda; Branchiopoda; Diplostraca; Daphniidae. The transcript is spliced from 3 exons. The record is from RefSeq and is a predicted model, not a curated record.
AUAUAUAAGUCGCUUGGACACCAACAGAGCUCAGUUAUCCAUUGUUAGUGCGACGGUCAUCCCUACUUGUCAAGCUUACAAAACAGGAAACGUUCUCCAUUUUUUCGCAGCAGCUAUAACGAUAGCCCCACCUAAGCCACCGUUUAAUUCAAAAUGAAACACACAAGCACAGUUGUAUUUUUCAUCAUUCUUAUUUCAUUUGUGUUGCUCAGCAACCAGAUGGGCGUUCAAGGAAUGCCACAAGAUCAAGAUCCUAGCUGCAAUUGCAAGAAAAACUAUCAACCAGUUUGUGGAACAGACGGCAAAACGUACUCCAACGAAUGUGUAUUGGGUGUCAAGACAAAGGGUUUGUGCGGAAAUGCAAAGUCUUCUGUUACGAAGGCUCACGACGGUGAAUGCAAAACCGCGACCGAAGUUUGAAGAUCGCUGAACGUUUUUCCUCUCUCCACGAAUGACAACUAAAAUUGUUUUAGUUUUUAAUCUUCUGAUAUUUAAAAAAUGCAACAAAAUAAACAAAAGCUUCUUGUUAUACCUCCACGUAAGCUUGAUGAAAUUCCAUUAUUCUGUAUUACGCUUUGGCUUUAUGUACCCCUAAUUACAAUAUACUAUGAAAAAGGCA